This 293-nucleotide ribosomal RNA is filed under the name uncultured bacterium. RNAcentral describes it as "partial 16S ribosomal RNA". It matches the Rfam family "Bacterial small subunit ribosomal RNA", at positions 338 to 649 of the family's 1533-position model. The record is from RNAcentral.
ACUACGGGGCGCAGCAGUGGGGAAUAUUGCACAAUGGGGGAAACCCUGAUGCAGCGACGCCGCGUGAGUGAAGAAGUAAUUCGUUAUGUAAAGCUCUAUCGGCAGGGAAGAAAAUGACGGUACCUGAGUAAGAAGCCCCGGCUAACUACGUGCCAACAGACGCGGUAAUACGUAGGGGGCAAGCGUUAUCCGGAUUUAUUGGGUUUAAAGGGUGCGUAGGCGGAAUGCCAAGUCAGCGGUAAAAUAGCGGGGCUAAACCUCGCUCCGCCGUUGAAACUGGCGUUCUGUAGUGG